AUUUUUAAUAACAAUUAAAAGCAUCAAACCAUCAUAAUCGAUCUCAACCAAACAUGGCCUCUUUAUAUACCCAAAUCAACCCACAGAUGCAUCUUCACUUCACUUCUCAGAUCUAGUACAUCUCAAUCAAAUCUUGCCUCUUUGCAUACCCAGAUCCAAAAAAGAAGAAAUCAAAGCAAACUCUUUACAUCUUUUCUUCUCCUUUUUUUUUAUUUUCUUCUCUCAAAUCUGGCGAUUUUUUUUGCUAGCGACAAUUGUGGAAGCAUAAAGGUUGUGAAUUUUGGAGGUGCGGUUGGGAUGAGAAGUGAAAUAUGAUCAAGGAUGAUGAUUUCACAGUCAUGUAUAUAUGUGUAUACAGGGAGAAAAUUAAAGGUAUUAGAAGAUUUGAUGAUUGCUUGAAUAUUGGGUUGAUUUGUAGUGAGAGGAAUAAAGAAUUUGGGUGAGAUUUAUAGUGGGGGUUUUAGCAAAGAGAGAAAAAUGAGUGAGUGGAGAAGAAGAAACCAGGCGCGGUUUUUUCAGUACACAAUUUUAUCCGACAGAGGCGGUCAUGUAGUUCCGAUCGAUGGUGAUGGUGGAAUUUGUGAGUUUUUUAUGGUGUAAUUAUUUUUAUUUUUUGGUACGAAAAUAUGUUUAUCCUUCCGAAAUUCUGGAUUGAACUAGCUCUUAAAACAUCUGUCUUUGUAGAUCUUAAAAAUUUCUUGCGGAAUUUUUUCUUUUGGUGGUGUAAUGUUGGUGAUAAUGGUGAGCAGAGGUGAUGAUAGUGGUGGGCAUGUGUUGUGGUGAUAGGGAAGAUGAGUGGGUUAACAAAUUUGCCUAAUUUCUUAAAUCUAUAAUUUCAGUAAAUAAUAAUUUUUUGUCUUUUAAUCUUUCAUUUUGGUUUUGGUUUCAUUUGAUAUUGUUGGUUUGGGUUUACAAUUUGGUUGCUGAUUUGAGUUUGCAAUCCAAUCCGUUGUUUUUCAUUAAUAUUAAUGUAUAAUAUAAAGUGAUUUGACGAGUUUGCCCUUUAAAUGUGUUA
This 1015-nucleotide long non-coding RNA is filed under the name Panax ginseng (ginseng). Its description in RNAcentral is "long non-coding RNA (PGIN_LNC017201)". The record is from RNAcentral. Lineage: Eukaryota; Viridiplantae; Streptophyta; Magnoliopsida; Apiales; Araliaceae.